AGAAGACUUUUUUAUUGCCCAAAUUACAGGCUAAAGGACAGGCCGGUAUUCGCGUUCCAAAUUAUUUGGAAAACGUGAUAAACCUAUAUUCCGAAGAGGAAUUUAGGAUGCAUUUCAGAAUGAAUCGGGCAACAUUUGAAUUUAUUUUUAAUUUAAUUGGGCCAACACUUGAAAAAAAGAAAAAUAAUGACAGGCAUCAAGGACGUAACCCCAUAGAUCCAAAAAAACAGCUUUUAAUUCUUGUAUGGACACUCGCAACACCAGAUUCAUACAGGUCAGUUUCUGAUAGAUUUGAUGUAGGGAAAGCAACAUGCCUCAGAACAGUCAGAAGAGUUAUGAAAGCUCUGCUAAAUUAUAAAUCAGAUUUUAUUAAAUGGCCCACCUAUGAGGAAGCUAAUGAGAGUAUUGCUGCAUUUCAAAAUUCAUACGGUUUUCCUGGUGUACUGGGGUGUG
Anthonomus grandis grandis is the source of this 453-nucleotide long non-coding RNA. RefSeq lists it as uncharacterized. The transcript has 3 exons. The record is from RefSeq and is a predicted model, not a curated record. Lineage: Eukaryota; Metazoa; Arthropoda; Insecta; Coleoptera; Curculionidae.